GACGAACGCUGGCGGCGUGCUUAACACAUGCCAGUCGAACGGAAAGGCCCUGCUUUUGUGGGGUGCUCGAGUGGCGAACGGGUGAGUAACACGUGAGUAACCUGCCCUUGACUUUGGGAUAACUUCAGGAAACUGGGGCUAAUACCGGAUAGGAGCUCCUGCUGCAUGGUGGGGGUUGGAAAGUUUCGGCGGUUGGGGAUGGACUCGCGGCUUAUCAGCUUGUUGGUGGGGUAGUGGCUUACCAAGGCUUUGACGGGUAGCCGGCCUGAGAGGGUGACCGGCCACAUUGGGACUGAGAUACGGCCCAGACUCCUACGGGAGGCAGCAGUGGGGAAUAUUGCACAAUGGGCGGAAGCCUGAUGCAGCAACGCCGCGUGCGGGAUGACGGCCUUCGGGUUGUAAACCGCUUUCGCCUGUGACGAAGCGUGAGUGAUGGUAAUGGGUAAAGAAGCACCGGCUAACUACGUG
Molecule: ribosomal RNA, 468 nt
Filed under: uncultured bacterium
Lineage: Bacteria
Description: partial 16S ribosomal RNA
Rfam family: Bacterial small subunit ribosomal RNA
Source: RNAcentral